This 447-nucleotide ribosomal RNA is filed under the name uncultured bacterium. Its description in RNAcentral is "partial 16S ribosomal RNA". It matches the Rfam family "Bacterial small subunit ribosomal RNA", at positions 29 to 523 of the family's 1533-position model. The record is from RNAcentral.
AGCGAACGCUGGCGGCAGGCUUAACACAUGCAAGUCGAACGGUCCUUCGGGAUAGUGGCGGACGGGUGAGUAACACGUGGGAACGUACCCUUAGGUUCGGAACAACACAGGGAAACUUGUGCUAAUACCGGAUAAGCCCUUCGGGGGAAAGAUUUAUCGCCUUUGGAGCGGCCCGCGUCUGAUUAGCUUGUUGGUGAGGUAAUGGCUCACCAAGGCUACGAUCAGUAGCUGGUCUGAGAGGAUGGCCAGCCACACUGGGACUGAGACACGGCCUAGACUCCUACGGGAGGCAGCAGUGGGGAAUCUUGCGCAAUGGGCGAAAGCCUGACGCAGCCAUGCCGCGUGGAUGAUGAAGGUCUUAGGAUUGUAAAAUCCCUUCACCGGGGACGAUAAUGACGGUACCCGGAGAAGAAGCCCCGGCUAACUUCGUGCCAGCCGCCGCGGUAA